Molecule: unclassified non-coding RNA, 363 nt
Filed under: soil metagenome
Description: partial contains 5.8S ribosomal RNA, internal transcribed spacer 2, and large subunit ribosomal RNA
Rfam family: 5.8S ribosomal RNA (bases 1-120)
Source: RNAcentral
GAUGAAGAACGUAGCGAAAUGCGAUAAGUAAUGUGAAUUGCAGAAUUCAGUGAAUCAUCGAAUCUUUGAACGCACCUUGCGCUCUUUGGUAUUCCGAAGAGCAUGCCUGUUCGAGUGUUAUUAAAUUCUCAAACCAAUAGCUUUAUUGUCUAUUGGCUUUGGACUUUGAGGGUUGUUGGUGCAAAUCGACUCCCUUUAAAUAUAUUAGCUGGCAUUGACUGCCAGACUAUGGUGUGAUAAUUAUCUACGCUAUUGGUCUGACAUGUUGGCUGCUUCUAAUCGUCUUCGGACAACACUCUUGAAAUUUAACCUCGAAUCAGGUAGGACUACCCGCUGAACUUAAGCAUAUCAAUAAGCGGAGGA